CUAAGGAAUUAACGGAACCCAACACAUUCGUCUUUAUUUUGUUCAGUUUUGAGAGGUCUAACUUCUCAAUUAAAUAUAUCUUUUUUAGAGCUCUUAAUAUGUUGGGCCUAUAGCUCAGCUGGUUAGAGCGCACGCCUGAUAAGCGUGAGGUCGAUGGUUCGAGUCCAUUUAGGCCCACUAGUUUCACUCUAAAAAAAACAAUACCUUUAACAAGGGGCCUUAGCUCAGCUGGGAGAGCGCCUGCCUUGCACGCAGGAGGUCAGCGGUUCGAUCCCGCUAGGCUCCAUUAGUAAUCUUUUGUUAGAUUACUUGAAUUUGUUCUUUGAAAACUGGAUACUGUAUUAAAAAAGUAAGUUAAGUAAGAAACCGAGAAACACCGCGUUUUAAAUGAGUUUUUUAAUUAGUUCUUAUCGUAAGAUAAUGAAUAAACAUUAACUAACAGGAUUGUUUUAGCAAUAAAACCUUCCACACAAACUAUUUGUGCAGGAAUGCAACAGAAUUCUAGGAUUGAACUGCAAUGAGCCUCGAAGCGUACUAACGUACGUAAGAAGUGAAUGAAAGAACAAGACAAUGAAGACUGAAGCAGUACCAACAAAUAA
RNAcentral lists this transfer RNA (599 nucleotides) under Carnobacterium gallinarum. Its description in RNAcentral is "large 16S-23S ribosomal RNA intergenic spacer". The stretch from base 104 to 177 matches the Rfam family "tRNA". The record is from RNAcentral. Lineage: Bacteria; Bacillati; Bacillota; Bacilli; Lactobacillales; Carnobacteriaceae.